GUCCACACAGUAAACGAUGAUUACUAGUUGUUUGCGAUAUGAUAGCAAGUGACUAAGCGAAAGCGAUAAGUAAUCCACCUGGGGAGUACGCCGGCAACGGUGAAACUCAAAGGAAUUGACGGGGGCCCCGCACAAGCGGAGGAACAUGUGGUUUAAUUCGAUGAUACGCGAGGAACCUUACCCGGGCUUGAAAUGCAUCUGACCGGCUUGGAAACAGGCCUUCUAGCAAUAGCAGAUGUGUAGGUGCUGCAUGGUUGUCGU
Molecule: ribosomal RNA, 261 nt
Filed under: uncultured bacterium
Lineage: Bacteria
Description: partial 16S ribosomal RNA
Rfam family: Bacterial small subunit ribosomal RNA
Source: RNAcentral